UACGAAGGGGGCUAGCGUUGUUCGGAUUUACUGGGCGUAAAGCGCACGUAGGCGGAUCCUUAAGUCAGGGGUGAAAUCCCGGGGCUCAACCUCGGAACUGCCUUUGAUACUGGGGAUCUCGAGUCCGGGAGAGGUGAGCGGAACUGCGAGUGUAGAGGUGAAAUUCGUAGAUAUUCGCAAGAACACCAGUGGCGAAGGCGGCUCACUGGCCCGAUACUGACGCUGAGGCACGAAAGCGUGGGGAGCAAACGGG
This 253-nucleotide ribosomal RNA is filed under the name uncultured bacterium. Its description in RNAcentral is "partial 16S ribosomal RNA". It matches the Rfam family "Bacterial small subunit ribosomal RNA", at positions 524 to 776 of the family's 1533-position model. The record is from RNAcentral.